Chrysolophus pictus (golden pheasant) is the source of this 1947-nucleotide long non-coding RNA. NCBI's taxonomy places the organism in Eukaryota, Metazoa, Chordata, Aves, Galliformes, Phasianidae. The record is from Ensembl.
GUCCCCUGCUCGGAAAGGGCUCUGGGGUGAGGGGAAUGGGGAAGUCCUUCCUCCUGUGCCCAUGGGGCGUGUAUUUCACCCAUCCGUGCUGGGCACUGGGAGCAGUGGGGUGGAACCAGCAGCACACGUGGUGGGCUGAGGUGUGUCUGUGUCAGAGCCCAGGGCACGUGGCUGAGACAAGACCAUAGAUGGAAUCAAGCAGCAGAGCGAGGGGAUAAAACUGGGCUGAAGCUCACUUUGGGAACCCUAGCAGAGGGUGAGCUUCAGCGUGAAAAAGGAACUGCCUGCGCUGGUGCUGGGAGGAUGCAGCCUCCACCCCUCCACCGCACGUGAUUUGGAUGCUGGAGGUCUUCUGGAGCAGUGGCCAAAGAAGGAGCCAUGAGCAUCCUGGUGGUGAAGGGCAUCCUGCCCCUGCUGCUCCUUGCCUGGCCGUCUGCUGGACUCGCUCACCAGUCUCCAGGCAUGACUUCCGUGUCCUUCGGGUCAGAUCUCACCCUUCACUGUCUGCCAAAAAGCCCUGGCAAGGAGUUGGUGUGGUGUAACACCUUAAACAAGAAGAUGGCAGAGGAAGGCACAGGGACUCAUCUACAUGAGGAAAAUGGUUCUUCCAACCUCACCUUUACGGGAUGUGACUGCAGCUCAGAGGCUCAGGAGCAGCAGCUGCUGGAGGAGGGCACAGUUAUUAAAUGCAUGUUUUGCGAGCACGGUGGGAUAUAUCUGCUGCAAGGCACAGCACUCGCUGUUUUGUUUCCUGCAGGGAACCUGCUGUGCAGGUUCAUGGUCUGGUCAGAGAAUAAGACCAUGCACGUGAGGUGGUGGACGUGUCCAGAGCCUCCCAAUGACCCCUUGAACCACAGCAAGGCACGUCACAACAACCGCUAUGGCAGCAUGAAUGCAGCCAGCACAGAGUCCAUUAUGUGUGCCGUGUCAAGCAGAAACUUCACAGGCACUGAAAAUGCCACCCAAGGGAUGGUUCCCAGCUCUGACCCCAAGACUUCUCCGACCCGUGAGCCUCAGACCCGGGAAGGUCUCAUAGCAAUCAUCUACCUGUAUGCCAUCCCGGGAUUAGUGGUUGUGACUCUUUUCUUCCUGUUUUGUAUUUUGGUGUGCCUGUGCAGAAGAAACCAAAGGAAAGCUAAAGGAACUCUUGAAAGCGUGCAUGCAGCAGAGACAAAUCAGCUCAGCACGCCUCCCCCAGCACCUCAGACCGAGGACAUGACGUAUGCAAAGCUGAUCUUUGACAGCACAGGAGCAAUACCUGCAGCCUCGGAAGUGGUGUACGCAGAAAUAAAACCACUGCAAAAGAAGUAGAGAGCUGAGGAUGGCCAACUGCUCUGCAGCACGAAGAGUGAGAAAGGAGAGACAAGCAGCUGGUGACCUGGCUGCCAUAGCUACGAUCCUUGAAAACCAGGCAUUAGCUCUUAACAAGUGCAUUGGGUGAUGGAUAUGCUGGUAGAGCCCUGGAGCAGCGUUCUUCAUUUCCUCACUGUGUCCAGAUCCAGCAUCUGCUGUGCUGGAUUUGGCUCUGCUCUGAUUCACACACUUGAAACAUGACAAGCAAAGGUAUAAACGCAUCGUUUGCUGUGGAGAGGUGCAGCAUGGAUACAUCCAGAGCAAACCAGUGACCGGCCGCCAGCCUGAUGGAACCCCAUUCACCCUCUGAGCCUGACAAGUCAGCCAGUUGCUCACCUAUAAUGUUUUAUUUUUUGCUAGCUCUAUGCUGGACAUUUUGUCUGGAAGGAAACAGUGUCCAAAGCCUUACUGAAACCCCAAAAAGUUAACAUUGACUGGCUUCACUUGGUCAACCAGAUAGGUAGCCUUGUUGUAUGAGGAAAUCAAGUUAAUCCAACAGGACCUAUGUAAUAUAUGUGUGUGUGUGUAUAUAUAUAUAAAAUAUCUUUUCUUUCUCCCUUUUUUCUUAGUAAAUAGUUUAUAUCUCAAUCCACC